UUGACGGGACCGCACAAGCGGUGGAUGAUGUGGUUUAAUUCGAUGCAACGCGAAAACCUUACCCACCUUUGACAUGGCAGGAAUCCUAAAGAGAUUGGGAGUGCUCGAAAGAGAACCUGCACACAGGUGCUGCAUGGCUGUCGUCAGCUCGUGUCGUGAGAUGUUGGGUUAAGUCCCGCAACGAGCGCAACCCUUGCCAUUAGUUGCUACGAAAGGGCACUCUAAUGGGACUGCCGGUGACAAACCGGAGGAAGGUGGGGAUGACGUCAAGUCCUCAUGGCCCUUAUAGGUGGGGCUACACACGUCAUACAAUGGCCGGUACAGAGGGUAGCCAACCCGCGAGGGGGAGCCAAUCCCACAAAGCCGGUCGUAGUCCGGAUCGCAGUCUGCAACUCGACUGCGUGAAGUCGGAAUCGCUAGUAAUCGCGGAUCAGCAUGUCGCGGUGAAUACGUUCCCGGGUCUU
Molecule: ribosomal RNA, 464 nt
Filed under: uncultured Allobrachymonas sp.
Lineage: Bacteria; Pseudomonadati; Pseudomonadota; Betaproteobacteria; Burkholderiales; Comamonadaceae
Description: bacterial SSU rRNA
Rfam family: Bacterial small subunit ribosomal RNA
Source: RNAcentral